Molecule: ribosomal RNA, 440 nt
Filed under: uncultured bacterium
Lineage: Bacteria
Description: partial 16S ribosomal RNA
Rfam family: Bacterial small subunit ribosomal RNA
Source: RNAcentral
CCUACGGGUGGCAGCAGUGGGGAAUAUUGGACAAUGGGGGAAACCCUGAUCCAGCGACGCCGCGUGAGUGAAGAAGUAUUUCGGUACGUAAAGCUCUAUCAGCAGGAAAGAAAAUGACGGUACCUGACUAAGAAGCCCCGGCUAACUACGUGCCAGCAGCCGCGGUAAUACGUAGGGGGCAAGCGUUAUCCGGAUUUACUGGGUGUAAAGGGAGCGUAGACGGCAGCGCAAGUCUGGAGUGAAAUGCCGGGGCUCAACCCCGGAACUGCUCUGGAAACUGUGAAGCUGGAGUGCAGGAGAGGUAAGCGGAAUUCCUGGUGUAGCGGUGAAAUGCGUAGAGAUCAGGAGGAAUACCGGCGGCGAAGGCGGCUUACUGGACUGUAACUGACGUUGAGGCUCGAAGGCGUGGGGAGCAAACAGGAUUAGAUACCCCAGUAGUC